RNAcentral lists this ribosomal RNA (1272 nucleotides) under metagenome. RNAcentral describes it as "bacterial LSU rRNA". It matches the Rfam family "Bacterial large subunit ribosomal RNA", at positions 1680 to 2925 of the family's 2925-position model. The record is from RNAcentral.
UCCAUAAUCUACAGGCCAACAUAAUUAUCUUAGAAUUGAUGGGCAAAUUGCCCCCGUAACUUCGGGAGAAGGGGGACCUCUGUUGGUGAUGGGCUUUACGCCUGGAGCUGGUGGGGGUCGCAGUGGCCAGGGGGAAGCGACUGUUUACUAAAAACACAGGUCCGUGCGAAGUCGUAAGACGAUGUAUACGGACUGACGCCUGCCCGGUGCCGGAACGUUAAGGGGACCGCUUAGCCGACGUGAGUUGGCGAAGGUGAGAACUUAAGCGCCGGUAAACGGCGGUGGUAACUAUAACCAUCCUAAGGUAGCGAAAUUCCUUGUCGGGUAAGUUCCGACCUGCACGAAUGGCGUAACGACUUCCCCGCUGUCUCAACCGCAGACCCGGCGAAAUUGCACUACGAGUAAAGAUGCUCGUUUCGCGCAGCAGGACGGAAAGACCCCGGGACCUUCACUACAGCUUGACAUUGGCGUUUGGAACGUCUUGUGUAGGAUAGGUGGGAGACUGGGAAGCUGUCACGCUAGUGAUGGUGGAGUCAUUGGUGAAAUACCACUCUGGUCGUUUUGAACGUCUAACUCUGGUCCGUGAUCCGGAUCGGGGACAGUGUCUGGUGGGUAGUUUAACUGGGGCGGUUGCCUCCUAAAGAGAACGGAGGCGCCCAAAGGUUCCCUCAGCCUGGUUGGCAAUCAGGUGUUGAGUGUAAGUGCACAAGGGAGCCUGACUGUGAGACUGACAGGUCGAGCAGGAGCGAAAGCUGGGACUAGUGAUCCGGCAUCGGCGUGUGGAAGCGGUGUCGCUCAACGGCUAAAAGGUACCCCGGGGAUAACAGGCUGAUCUUCCCCAAGAGUCCAUAUCGACGGGAUGGUUUGGCACCUCGAUGUCGGCUCGUCGCAUCCUGGGGCUGGAGUAGGUCCCAAGGGUUGGGCUGUUCGCCCAUUAAAGCGGUACGCGAGCUGGGUUUAGAACGUCGCGAGACAGUUCGGUCCCUAUCCGCUGCGCGCGCAGGAGACUUGAAGGGGGCUGUCCCUAGUACGAGAGGACCGGGACGGACGAACCUCUGGUGUGCCAGUUGUACCGCCAGGUGCACGGCUGGUUGGCUACGUUCGGAAGGGAUAACCGCUGAAAGCAUCUAAGCGGGAAGCUCGCCUUGAGAUGAGGUCUCCCACCACGAGAGUGGGUAAGGCUCCCGGUAGACGACCGGGUUGAUAGGCCGGAGGUGGAAGCACGGUAACGUGUGGAGCUGACCGGUACUAAUAGGCCGAGGACUUGACCAC